GACGAACGCUGGCGGCGUGCCUAAUACAUGCAAGUAGAACGCUGAAGCGAGGAGCUUACUCUUCUUGGGUGAGUUGCGAACGGGUGAGUAACGCGUAGGUAACCUGCCUUGUAGCGGGGGAUAACUAUGUGAAACGAUAGCUAAUACCGCAUAACAAUGGAUGACACAGGUCAUUUAGUUGAAAGGGGCAAUUGCUCCACUACAAGAUGGACCUGCGUUGUAUUAGCUAGUGGGUGAGGUAAUGGCUCACCUAGGGGACGAUACAUAGCCGACCCGGAGGGGUUGUCGGCCAAACUGGGACUGAGGCCAGGCCCAGGAUCCUUCGGGGAGCCGCCGGAGGGGAACAUCGGCCAAGGGGGCAAAGCUGACCGCAGAACGCCGGGUGGGGGGAGGAGGUUCUCGGGUCGGUAAGCUCUGUUGUUAGUCAAGAAAGGGUGUGAGAGUGGAAAGUUCACACUGUGACGGUACCUAAAGAGAAAGCGACGGCUAACUACGUG
This 497-nucleotide ribosomal RNA is filed under the name uncultured bacterium. RNAcentral's name for it is "partial 16S ribosomal RNA". It matches the Rfam family "Bacterial small subunit ribosomal RNA", at positions 28 to 507 of the family's 1533-position model. The record is from RNAcentral.